UGGGGAAUAUUGCACAAUGGGCGCAAGCCUGAUGCAGCCAUGCCGCGUGUGUGAAGAAGGCCUUCGGGUUGUAAAGCACUUUCAGCGGGGAGGAAGGCGGUGAGGUUAAUAACCUCAUCGAUUGACGUUACCCGCAGAAGAAGCACCGGCUAACUCCGUGCCAGCAGCCGCGGUAAUACGGAGGGUGCAAGCGUUAAUCGGAAUUACUGGGCGUAAAGCGCACGCAGGCGGUCUGUCAAGUCGGAUGUGAAAUCCCCGGGCUCAACCUGGGAACUGCAUUCGAAACGGGCAGACUAGAGUCUUGUAGAGGGGGUAGAAUUCCAGGUGUAGCGGUGAAAUUGCGUAGAGAUCUGGAGGAAUACCGGUGGCGAAGGCGGCCCCCUGGACAAAGACUGACGCUCAGGUGCGAAAGCGUGGGAGCAAACA
This 426-nucleotide ribosomal RNA is filed under the name uncultured Klebsiella sp. RNAcentral's name for it is "bacterial SSU rRNA". It matches the Rfam family "Bacterial small subunit ribosomal RNA", at positions 355 to 774 of the family's 1533-position model. Lineage: Bacteria; Pseudomonadati; Pseudomonadota; Gammaproteobacteria; Enterobacterales; Enterobacteriaceae. The record is from RNAcentral.